CUAAAGGCUCUUUUAAGAGCCAACUCAGUUAUCCCAGAAGAUGCUGU
Non-coding RNA from Cricetulus griseus (Chinese hamster), 47 nucleotides. Lineage: Eukaryota; Metazoa; Chordata; Mammalia; Rodentia; Cricetidae. The record is from Rfam.